This 465-nucleotide ribosomal RNA is filed under the name Vreelandella stevensii. Its description in RNAcentral is "partial 16S ribosomal RNA". It matches the Rfam family "Bacterial small subunit ribosomal RNA", at positions 338 to 795 of the family's 1533-position model. The record is from RNAcentral. Lineage: Bacteria; Pseudomonadati; Pseudomonadota; Gammaproteobacteria; Oceanospirillales; Halomonadaceae.
CCUACGUGAUGCAGCAGUGGGGAAUAUUGGACAAUGGGCGAAAGCCUGAUCCAGCCAUGCCGCGUGUGUGAAGAAGGCCUUCGGGUUGUAAAGCACUUUCAGUGGGGAAGAAAGCCUUGGGGCUAAUACCCUCGAGGAAGGACAUCACCCACAGAAGAAGCACCGGCUAACUCCGUGCCAGCAGCCGCGGUAAUACGGAGGGUGCGAGCGUUAAUCGGAAUUACUGGGCGUAAAGCGCGCGUAGGCGGUCUGAUAAGCCGGUUGUGAAAGCCCCGGGCUCAACCUGGGAACGGCAUCCGGAACUGUCAGGCUAGAGUGCAGGAGAGGAAGGUAGAAUUCCCGGUGUAGCGGUGAAAUGCGUAGAGAUCGGGAGGAAUACCAGUGGCGAAGGCGGCCUUCUGGACUGACACUGACGCUGAGGUGCGAAAGCGUGGGUAGCAAACAGGAUUAGAUACCCCGGUAGUC